Molecule: long non-coding RNA, 379 nt
Organism: Polistes dominula (European paper wasp)
Lineage: Eukaryota; Metazoa; Arthropoda; Insecta; Hymenoptera; Vespidae
Source: RefSeq, a predicted model, not a curated record
UCUUUGUUUUUAUUCAUUAAGUUUCCUUACUCAUUCCUCGUCUUGAUGUGUUCGCGAGUUGUCACCAAUCGAGAGACACCUCCAGAGAAGGAAAUUCUCCUACGAAUUUCAAUAUAAUCCUAUCUUCUAUCGUUGUAGUAGUUGUCGUUGUCGUUGUCGUCUAGUCUUCAACAGACUUGCAAAACUAUGCACUAUUUCAUUUCCCCAUGUGUUUGACUGAAUAAAUGGCAGAAUCGAUCAACGUUCUUCACCAAUAUUGAAGCUUCUAUGAAAAGAAAAGGUGCACGACAUAUUAUUGAAGCAGACGGAAAAUAUAUUUGAUUCCCAUCAUAUUUGAGAACUUACAAAAAGUUUCCUGAUACUAAGAGGACAAUCAUAA